This is a long non-coding RNA of Herpailurus yagouaroundi (jaguarundi), 411 nucleotides long. RefSeq lists it as uncharacterized. The record is from RefSeq and is a predicted model, not a curated record. The transcript has 2 exons. Lineage: Eukaryota; Metazoa; Chordata; Mammalia; Carnivora; Felidae.
CCACUACAGGCAGAACCGCUAAUGACGGAGACCUUUCAGAAACGAUGGUUUCAGUCACCAGGUGAAGAACUCUGACCAGCUGAGCUGCUUGCUGAAGGCAAAGGGAAUACAGACUGGAUAGAAGAUAGUUACAAAUGGCAGCUACUACCACACAGAAUGAGUACUGCAACUGUCAUGAAUGCAGCCUGUGGGAGGUAAUUAGGUCAUGCGGGUGAGACACUCAUGAAUGGGAUUUAUGUCCUUAGAAGAAGCCAGAGAUCCAGCUAUCUCUCUUCCUAUCACUUGAGAAUACAAGAAAUCAACAGUCUGCUGUCCAGAAGAGAGCUCUCACCAAACCUGACCAUGCAGGCACCCUGAUCUCAGAAUUCCAGGCUCCAAAAACGGUGAGAAAUAAAUACCUGUGGUUUGUAA